AUUGCCUUUUGGCCUUUUGGCUAAGAUCAAGUGUAGUAUC
This 40-nucleotide small nuclear RNA is filed under the name Cervus elaphus hippelaphus. The record is from RNAcentral. Lineage: Eukaryota; Metazoa; Chordata; Mammalia; Artiodactyla; Cervidae.